This 445-nucleotide ribosomal RNA is filed under the name uncultured bacterium. RNAcentral describes it as "partial 16S ribosomal RNA". It matches the Rfam family "Bacterial small subunit ribosomal RNA", at positions 354 to 796 of the family's 1533-position model. The record is from RNAcentral.
GUGAGGAAUAUUGGUCAAUGGGCGAGAGCCUGAACCAGCCAAGUCGCGUGAAGGAAGAAGGAUCUAUGGUUCGUAAACUUCUUUUGCAGGGGAAUAAAGUGCGGGACGUGUCCUGUUUUGUAUGUACCCUGAGAAUAAGGAUCGGCUAACUCCGUGCCAGCAGCCGCGGUAAUACGGAGGAUCCGAGCGUUAUCCGGAUUUAUUGGGUUUAAAGGGUGCGUAGGUGGUUUGAUAAGUCAGCGGUGAAAGUUUGCAGCUUAACUGUAAAAAUGCCGUUGAAACUGUCGGACUUGAGUGUAAAUGAGGUAGGCGGAAUGCGUGGUGUAGCGGUGAAAUGCAUAGAUAUCACGCAGAACUCCGAUUGCGAAGGCAACUUACUAAGCUACAACUGACACUGAAGCACGAAAGCGUGGGGAUCAAACAGGAUUAGAAACCCUGGUGGUCC